This is a ribosomal RNA of Piliocolobus tephrosceles (Ugandan red Colobus), 103 nucleotides long. The record is from Ensembl. NCBI's taxonomy places the organism in Eukaryota, Metazoa, Chordata, Mammalia, Primates, Cercopithecidae.
GUCUACGGCCAUAUCACCCUGAACGCCCCCUAUCUUCUCUCAUCUCAGAAGCUAAGCAGGUUUGGGCCUGGUUAGUGCUUGGUAUGGAAGAAAGCAUUAGACA